This is a long non-coding RNA of Phyllostomus discolor (pale spear-nosed bat), 2421 nucleotides long. RefSeq lists it as uncharacterized. The transcript is spliced from 2 exons. NCBI's taxonomy places the organism in Eukaryota, Metazoa, Chordata, Mammalia, Chiroptera, Phyllostomidae. The record is from RefSeq and is a predicted model, not a curated record.
AGUAGGCUGACCACAGUUGUCCACCUCUGUCCUGUAAGUGGGGAGAGCCUCUGCCCUUCAGCAAGGAGCUGUGAGGAUGAGAAAGGGGAGACUGGUUACAGAGAGAGGCUCUGAGCACUUAGCUUCCUUGCCAAGAACUAAUGGACGGUCUUCAACGUGCAUGAAAAAUGCGCUCUGCUUGGGACCAGAGAAGCCGCAACGAGGCCUCCACAGACCUGAUUCGGUGUCAGUCUAUUUCGGUGUGCGAAGACCUGGAUGCACUUAUUUUACUCUCUGCCGUAACUGAGAAAAAAACCAAACAACUGCAAAGGUUCAAUGAGACAGCAGUCGGUCACGAGAAAGGAAUUUGAACCGAGAUAACGUUAGUUACAUUCUAUCCACGUGUUCCUGAAGCCCGUGCACUUCCAGUUGAACAAAUGUGACUUGGCCUUUCAUCAUUAGAUUAAAAUGGAAUCAGAUCAGCAUAGACUUUGUAUAAUUAAGAGAAUCUACAUAUACACAUGGGCACACAGGUGUCUUUUGAUAGGUUAAGAACUACUGACAGAGUUAAAGGAUCGUGAGAUGUUUCCCUUUCUUAUCAUCUCUGUCCUGUGUCGGGAGGGGCCCAUGUGUGUUUUAGUGAAAUGUCCAGGGAGAAAGUGAAGUAGAAACUGUUCGCCUCUUACUUGUGGCAACAGCUCUCAUCUGUGGCGCUCUGACUGGGAGCCAGGCACGGCCCUUCAGUGCUUUACAGCAGGAUUUUGUUAAAUGCUCAUUAACAGUCCUAUGGGGUGAAUGUGAUUAUAAGUCCCACUAUAUGUUUGUGGCAACUGAGGCACAGAGAAGGUAAGUGACUUGCCCAACAUCACACAGCUGGUUGUACAGGUCCCAUGUCCCUUGUGCAAAAUGACGUACGCCACAGCUCUCAUCCCCACCUCCCACCAGCUUCCCAGCUCAGGGUCCUCUGGGCAAAAUACUGCAGCAGGGAGGGGAGAGGACGUCAGGCUGCAGUAUGCUGGAGUGGAAAAAAACAAAAGGGAGGUCCUUAAAGUCAAGGCAAGAACAGUGUCUCGGAGGACAGUGCAAUGUCUCACCAGUGAGGCAGUGGUCAGCCUCCCCAGACUCAGAGGCCUGUCCAGGGUUUCUUUGCCGCCAGGGUCACGUUGCUCAACUGCCUGUAGGGUGCUGCAGCCCUGGAAAGGAGCCCAGGCUGUCGGGCUGCCAGGUCCUGGCUGGUUUUCCACUCAACGACAGAGGCGAAUGUCAUUCCUUGGAGUGAAUCACCAGAUGCCUUUGUGUGGCCAUUCAAUCAGUCUGCAGAGCGCUGAACAAGCAGACAUAAGGGUGCCAGUCAUUCUGUCCAUGGUAUAAAGAGGUAAAGCGAGGCACAGAGAAGUCUACACUCACAUACACAGUUCUUUCCCCCACCUUGCAAAGAACAAGUGAAACUGUGGUAAUGAUAGAGCUGGAAGCAGAAUCUCCUGCUCAGAUGACUUGAGACUGAGACAUCUGGGUCAUAAACCACAGCGGAAGCCAAUAUGGGGAAAUUAUCUGGAGUUACUUUACAUACACAAAGACUAUGCUUCUGACCCUCUUUUACAUUCAGAAUCUCUGUGUAGUCUGGAAGCCCCUUUGUGAGCACAUCCAGGAGGAGGUGGUGUGCUGUAGAAAAAGCCCUGGGUUACAGUCAAGAGACCCAGUCCUGUCGAACCAGCUGAGUGGCCGGGAAAAGUUAAGUAACCUGGGAUUAUAUUUCAGAAACAGAGGUGAAGGCUUUGGACAAUAUCAGUGGUUCCCAAACCUGCCUGCUCAGGAGAAUCACUGUGUGUGUGUGUGUGUGUGUGUGUGUGUGUGUGUGUGUGUGUUGGGAGAAGGAGGUAUGAGAGCUGCAGCCUGGGAACCUGUAUUUUGAACAUGGUCUAGGUGAUUCUGAAGAGCAGCCACAAUUGGUGACCCCAGAGCAGAUGUUGUCUAAGAUACUCACAGAGCUCUGAUGUUUUCUGACUCUGGAGCCCCUUUUAGCACAUUCCACACUAUUCAGUCCAGAGGAAAUGGCAGCACUCAUAGUGGACCCCCAUGAGAAAGUCGGUGUGUGACUUCAGGGAGCAGCCAGCGUGGCCCAGCGUCCUGCUCCAGGGGUGCCAGGUGUGCGUGGGCUCUGGGACAAACCUGUUUUUUGGCUGGUUCAGCUUUGGAGCCUGAGGAUAGGGCUCUCUGGGGCCAGCAGUGCUUGGCCCUGACUGUGAUCAUCCGCUGCCUUGUUCCUGAAGAUGCGGGCCCUGUCACCACUGUGCUGUGGUCUGGGACACAGAGUCAGCCUCGAGUCUGAAGAGCAUGUCAAGAAUCCUGACAAGCAGGCCUUGCCUCUUUGAGGCAGGUCUGCUUCACACGAGCUUUUGAAUGCAGUCACGUGUCUCCAGUUGUCCCAGGACUGUGGAAUGC